AGUCUAAGGCUGAUGAGGAGACGGGUGAGUUAGUGUCUACUUAUUGUUUGUUUGCCAAUCGUGUUUGAUAGAUAUUUGAUUUUUGUUGAUUUAUUAAGGCGUGCAUUAGAGUUUGAAAGUAGUAUAAUUGUAUAUGCUAGUGAGUUCUUAGCCGGUAAUGGACAUUGGAGAUGUUUACUACGGAUUAUUGUAUUAUGCUUUUUGUGGUUGAUCAGUGGGAAUGAAUUAGUUAUAGUUUAAUAACACGUGAACGUGGCUUAUAGGUUAGUUAGAAUUAGGAUGUGCUUUUUAAUUUUGGAGUUUGAUGCUGUGAAGGGAGAUUUAUUGUUAUGGAGUUAACACAAGGUGAACUUGUAAAGAGCUUGUCUUUCGGUAUGUAUUGCUACCUCAGUAUUAUGAUGAUGGGUUAUAAUUUUUCCCCCCCCAGAAAGUGAGAGCCUGAAAUGAUUAUCUUUGGUAUUAUACUGACUACUAAGGGAAAGAGUAUUAAGCUCAUGUUUGGGGGUGGUGGGGAAUUUUAGCUCAUUCUAAUGUAAUGUAAUUGGAUCCUACUAUCCUAGUUUGUAAUUCACUAAUUUGUCUGAUUUUGAAUGCUUUAUAGGUAAGAGGUUUUGUUCUUUUGGAGGACCCUUAAAUGUUAGACAUGCACAGUUGAAUUGGAUCAUUGUAACUAUGUGCUAAUGGGUUGUGUAGGUUAUGUGUCAUCUUAUCAACAUGGGAACUUUGAAAUAACCCUUUUUUAGCAGUCUAGGCCAGACAUUGCCAAUAUUUAUCUUUUACUUAUCAAAAUGGGGGGAAAAGAUGACCACUGGAAAGGUAACAUUACUCUUGAUGAAAUUGGAUGUUUGAAAGGCCUCCUAAAUAGAAGCUACAUUGUGGAUGCUUUUUACUGAUUCUAUAUUACAUUAUGAUUUAUGAUAUGAAAUUAACAAACAAUUUUCCUUCCCUUGGCCUCCCUCGGCCUCCCUCCCUCUCCCACCAAAAGGAAAAGAAAAGAAAAGAAA
Molecule: unclassified non-coding RNA, 1004 nt
Filed under: Hevea brasiliensis (rubber tree)
Lineage: Eukaryota; Viridiplantae; Streptophyta; Magnoliopsida; Malpighiales; Euphorbiaceae
Source: RNAcentral